RNAcentral lists this ribosomal RNA (1457 nucleotides) under Shigella flexneri. RNAcentral describes it as "bacterial SSU rRNA". It matches the Rfam family "Bacterial small subunit ribosomal RNA". Lineage: Bacteria; Pseudomonadati; Pseudomonadota; Gammaproteobacteria; Enterobacterales; Enterobacteriaceae. The record is from RNAcentral.
AGAUUGACGCUGGCGGCAGGCCUAACACAUGCAAGUCGAACGGUAACAGGAAACAGCUUGCUGUUUCGCUGACGAGUGGCGGACGGGUGAGUAAUGUCUGGGAAACUGCCUGAUGGAGGGGGAUAACUACUGGAAACGGUAGCUAAUACCGCAUAACGUCGCAAGACCAAAGAGGGGGACCUUCGGGCCUCUUGCCAUCGGAUGUGCCCAGAUGGGAUUAGCUUGUUGGUGGGGUAACGGCUCACCAAGGCGACGAUCCCUAGCUGGUCUGAGAGGAUGACCAGCCACACUGGAACUGAGACACGGUCCAGACUCCUACGGGAGGCAGCAGUGGGGAAUAUUGCACAAUGGGCGCAAGCCUGAUGCAGCCAUGCCGCGUGUAUGAAGAAGGCCUUCGGGUUGUAAAGUACUUUCAGCGGGGAGGAAGGGAGUAAAGUUAAUACCUUUGCUCAUUGACGUUACCCGCAGAAGAAGCACCGGCUAACUCCGUGCCAGCAGCCGCGGUAAUACGGAGGGUGCAAGCGUUAAUCGGAAAUUACUGGGCGUAAAGCGCACGCAGGCGGUUUGUUAAGUCAGAUGUGAAAUCCCCGGGCUCAACCUGGGAACUGCAUCUGAUACUGGCAAGCUUGAGUCUCGUAGAGGGGGGUAGAAUUCCAGGUGUAGCGGUGAAAUGCGUAGAGAUCUGGAGGAAUACCGGUGGCGAAGGCGGCCCCCUGGACGAAGACUGACGCUCAGGUGCGAAAGCGUGGGGAGCAAACAGGAUUAGAUACCCUGGUAGUCCACGCCGUAAACGAUGUCGACUUGGAGGUUGUGCCCUUGAGGCGUGGCUUCCGGAGCUAACGCGUUAAGUCGACCGCCUGGGGAGUACGGCCGCAAGGUUAAAACUCAAAUGAAUUGACGGGGGCCCGCACAAGCGGUGGAGCAUGUGAUUUAAUUCGAUGCAACGCGAAGAACCUUACCUGGUCUUGACAUCCACGGAAGUUUUCAGAGAUGAGAAUGUGCCUUCGGGAACCGUGAGACAGGUGCUGCAUGGCUGUCGUCAGCUCGUGUUGUGAAAUGUUGGGUUAAGUCCCGCAACGAGCGCAACCCUUAUCCUUUGUUGCCAGCGGUCCGGCCGGGAACUCAAAGGAGACUGCCAGUGAUAAACUGGAGGAAGGUGGGGAUGACGUCAAGUCAUCAUGGCCCUUACGACCAGGGCUACACACGUGCUACAAUGGCGCAUACAAAGAGAAGCGACCUCGCGAGAGCAAGCGGACCUCAUAAAGUGCGUCGUAGUCCGGAUUGGAGUCUGCAACUCGACUCCAUGAAGUCGGAAUCGCUAGUAAUCGUGGAUCAGAAUGCCACGGUGAAUACGUUCCCGGGCCUUGUACACACCGCCCGUCACACCAUGGGAGUGGGUUGCAAAAGAAGUAGGUAGCUUAACCUUCGGGAGGGCGCUUACCACUUUGUGAUCAUGA